Molecule: ribosomal RNA, 486 nt
Filed under: uncultured Pseudomonadota bacterium
Lineage: Bacteria; Pseudomonadati; Pseudomonadota
Description: bacterial SSU rRNA
Rfam family: Bacterial small subunit ribosomal RNA
Source: RNAcentral
UGGGGAAUAUUGGACAAUGGGCGAAAGCCUGAUCCAGCAAUGCCGCGUGAGUGAUGAAGGCCUUAGGGUUGUAAAGCUCUUUUACCCGGGAUGAUAAUGACAGUACCGGGAGAAUAAGCUCCGGCUAACUCCGUGCCAGCAGCCGCGGUAAUACGGAGGGAGCUAGCGUUAUUCGGAAUUACUGGGCGUAAAGCGCACGUAGGCGGCUUUGUAAGUUAGAGGUGAAAGCCUGGAGCUCAACUCCAGAAUUGCCUUUAAGACUGCAUCGCUUGAAUCCAGGAGAGGUGAGUGGAAUUCCGAGUGUAGAGGUGAAAUUCGUAGAUAUUCGGAAGAACACCAGUGGCGAAGGCGGCUCACUGGACUGGUAUUGACGCUGAGGUGCGAAAGCGUGGGGAGCGAAACAGGAUUAGAUACCCUGGUAGUCCACGCCGUAAACGAUGAUAACUAGCUGUCGGGGCUCUUAGAGCUUCGGUGGCGCAGCUAACG